GACGAACGCUGGCGGCGUGCUUAACACAUGCAAGUCGAACGGAAAGGCCCUGCUUUUGUGGGGUGCUCGAGUGGCGAACGGGUGAGUAACACGUGAGUAACCUGCCCUUGACUUUGGGAUAACUUCAGGAAACUGGGGCUAAUACCGGAUAGGAGCUCCUGCUGCAUGGUGGGGGUUGGAAAGUUUCGGCGGUUGGGGAUGGACUCGCGGGUUAUCAGCUUGUUGGUGGGGUAGUGGCUUACCAAGGCUUUGACGGGUAGCCGGCCUGAGAGGGUGACCGGCGACAAUGGGACUGAGGUACGGCCCAGACUCCUACGGGAGGCAGCGGUGGGGAAUAUUGCCCAAUGGGCGGAAGCCUGAGGAAGAAACGCCGCGUGCGGGAUGACGGCCUUCGGGUUGUAAACCGCUUUCGCCUGUGACGAAGCGUGAGUGACGGUAAUGGGUAAAGAAGCACCGGCUAACUACGUG
Molecule: ribosomal RNA, 468 nt
Filed under: uncultured bacterium
Lineage: Bacteria
Description: partial 16S ribosomal RNA
Rfam family: Bacterial small subunit ribosomal RNA
Source: RNAcentral